GUGGGCCCAAAGCAUAUGGGUGGGACGGCGCUCGCGCACGGGAACUCUGGUCCGUGGACCAGAUCGCUACUAGUCCAACCGAGCCAGGGAUCACUCCCCCACCUCUGUCUCCGUUCUGAGUAGGUCCUUGCGGCGGCGCUCGUUCUGCAACGGCGAGCACGGGGAAAUGGAAGACGGUGGGGUUGAGUUCCUGCUUGAUGCCAUUGACAUGUUCCCAUUACGAGAGGAAUUCGCGGACAACCCCGAGCACCCAGAUCCGGUUCCCCCGGUCUUGUUGCCAAACAGCGGAGCCGGCCUUGCCAUUUCUGCAGACUCAAAUACUGGAUCUGGUUGCGCUCAACAGCUCGGCGGUGAUGGGAAUGAUAUGGCAGGAGUUCGAGUCCGCCGUCUCGCGGAUGCAUCAUCGACGAGGUCGGACCAGUCUAAUGACAGAGUCAAUCCAGAGGCACCUCAGAGGACAAAAAAGGUUAUGGUUGGGCAGUGAGCCACCAGAUGACGAUGGACUCUAAAUUCAUGGGCUAUAGAGUUGAUUGGCUAAAGAAGUUCAUGUUCCUGGUGCAUUUCAUGGAUUGUCGGUCAUUAUAUAUCCUGGAUAUCGAGAAGAUUAUGAUGGUGCUUGACCCAACGGAGACAGAUCCAUCGGAUGAGAUGAAAAUCAAACAUGGGCCGCUAGCAAGGAAGUUUCAGCAGAAGUUAUGCACCCUAUUGAUAACACAGGUAGUAGUCCCAUAUUGAUUCGGUUUACCUACCAGAGAUGAUCC
Long non-coding RNA from Triticum dicoccoides, 761 nucleotides. RefSeq lists it as uncharacterized. Lineage: Eukaryota; Viridiplantae; Streptophyta; Magnoliopsida; Poales; Poaceae. The transcript has 5 exons. The record is from RefSeq and is a predicted model, not a curated record.